AUACGUAGGGGGCGAGCGUUGUCCGGAAUGAUUGGGCGUAAAGGGCGCGUAGGCGGCCCGGUAAGUCUGGAGUGAAAGUCCUGUUUUUAAGAUGGGAAUUGCUUUGGAUACUGUCGGGCUUGAGUGCAGGAGAGGUAAGUGGAAUUCCCAGUGUAGCGGUGAAAUGCGUAGAGAUUGGGAGGAACACCAGUGGCGAAGGCGACUUACUGGACUGUAACUGACGCUGAGGCGCGAAAGUGUGGGGAGCAAACAGGAUUAGAUACCCUGGUAGUCCACACUGUAAACGAUGAAUGCUAGGUGUAGGGGGUAUCGACCCCUUCUGUGCCGCAGGCAACACAAUAAGCAUUCCGCCUGGGGAGUACGGCCGCAAGGUUGAAACUCAAAGGAAUUGACGGGG
This 397-nucleotide ribosomal RNA is filed under the name uncultured bacterium. RNAcentral's name for it is "partial 16S ribosomal RNA". It matches the Rfam family "Bacterial small subunit ribosomal RNA", at positions 523 to 918 of the family's 1533-position model. The record is from RNAcentral.